This 251-nucleotide ribosomal RNA is filed under the name uncultured bacterium. RNAcentral describes it as "partial 16S ribosomal RNA". It matches the Rfam family "Bacterial small subunit ribosomal RNA", at positions 524 to 776 of the family's 1533-position model. The record is from RNAcentral.
UACGGGGGAGCAAGCGUUGUUCGGAUUUACUGGCGUAAAGGGCGCGUAGGCGGCCUGUGCAAGUCAGUUGUGAAAUCUCCGAGCUUAACUCGGAACGGUCAACUGAUACUGCUCGGCUAGAGUGCGGAAGGGGCAACUGGAAUUCUUGGUGUAGCGGUGAAAUGCGUAGAUAUGUGGAGGAACACCGAUGGCGAAGGCAGCCCCUGGGUUAACACUGACGCUCAUGCACGAAAGCGUGGGGAGCAAACAGG